UGGGGAAUUUUGGACAAUGGGCGAAAGCCUGAUCCAGCAAUGCCGCGUGUGUGAAGAAGGCCUUCGGGUUGUAAAGCACUUUUGUCCGGAAAGAAAUCCUUGGCUCUAAUACAGUCGGGGGAUGACGGUACCGGAAGAAUAAGCACCGGCUAACUACGUGCCAGCAGCCGCGGUAAUACGUAGGGUGCAAGCGUUAAUCGGAAUUACUGGGCGUAAAGCGUGCGCAGGCGGUUUGCUAAGACCGAUGUGAAAUCCCCGGGCUCAACCUGGGAACUGCAUUGGUGACUGGCAGGCUAGAGUAUGGCAGAGGGGGGUAGAAUUCCACGUGUAGCAGUGAAAUGCGUAGAGAUGUGGAGGAAUACCGAUGGCGAAGGCAGCCCCCCUGGGCCAAUACUGACGCUCAUGCACGAAAGCGUGGGGAGCAAACAGGAUUAGAUACCCUGGUAGUCCACGCCCUAAACGAUGUCAACUAGUUGUUGGGGGAUUCAUUUCCUUAGUAACGUAGCUAACGCGUGAAGUUGACCGCCUGGGGAGUACGGUCGCAAGAUUAAAACUCAAAGGAAUUG
Molecule: ribosomal RNA, 566 nt
Filed under: uncultured bacterium
Lineage: Bacteria
Description: partial 16S ribosomal RNA
Rfam family: Bacterial small subunit ribosomal RNA
Source: RNAcentral